RNAcentral lists this ribosomal RNA (497 nucleotides) under uncultured bacterium. RNAcentral describes it as "partial 16S ribosomal RNA". It matches the Rfam family "Bacterial small subunit ribosomal RNA", at positions 28 to 507 of the family's 1533-position model. The record is from RNAcentral.
GAUGAACGCUGGCGGCGUGCCUAAUACAUGCAAGUCGAGCGAACAGACGAGGAGCUUGCUCCUCUGACGUUAGCGGCGGACGGGUGAGUAACACGUGGAUAACCUACCUAUAAGACUGGGAUAACUUCGGGAAACCGGAGCUAAUACCGGAUAAUAUAUUGAACCGCAUGGUUCAAUAGUGAAAGACGGUUUUGCUGUCACUUAUAGAUGGAUCCGCGCCGCAUUAGCUAGUUGGUAAGGUAACGGCUUACCAAGGCAACGAUGCGUAGCCGACCUGAGAGGGUGAUCGGCCACACUGGAACUGAGACACGGUCCAGACUCCUACGGGCGGCAGCAGUAGGGAAUCUUCCGCAAUGGGCGAAAGCUUGACGGAGCAACGCCGCGUGAGUGAUGAAGGUCUUCGGAUCGUAAAACUCUGUUAUUAGGGAAGAACAAAUGUGUAAGUAACUAUGCACGUCUUGACGGUACCUAAUCAGAAAGCCACGGCUAACUACGUG